This 490-nucleotide ribosomal RNA is filed under the name Chalcorana raniceps (Peters' Malaysian frog). RNAcentral describes it as "Hylarana raniceps (Peters' Malaysian frog) partial 16S ribosomal RNA". It matches the Rfam family "Bacterial large subunit ribosomal RNA", at positions 1922 to 2582 of the family's 2925-position model. Lineage: Eukaryota; Metazoa; Chordata; Amphibia; Anura; Ranidae. The record is from RNAcentral.
GUUCAACGGCCGCGGUAUCCUAACCGCGCGAAGGUAGCAUAAUCACUUGUUCUUUAAAUGAGGACUUGUAUCAACGGCAUCACGAGGGCUACACUGUCUCCUUUUUCCAAUCAGUGAAACUGAUCUCCCCGUGAAGAAGCGGGGAUUCAAAUAUAAGACGAGAAGACCCCAUGGAGCUUUAAAUUACGUACCUAAUUUAUGUAAAAAUACCAAUAAAACUAAAAAAUCUAAGUACCAUUUUAGGUUGGGGCGACCACGGAGUAUAACUUAACCUCCACAACAAAUAGGCCACACCUUUACCCACGAGCUACACCUCUAAGAAUUAAUAUAUUAAUGUUUAAUGACCCGAACAUUCGAUCAAUGAACCAAGUUACCCUGGGGAUAACAGCGCAAUCUAUUUCAAGAGUUCUUAUCGACAAAUAGGUUUACGACCUCGAUGUUGGAUCAGGGUAUCCAAGUGGUGCAGCCGCUACUUAUGGUUCGUUUGUUC